Molecule: ribosomal RNA, 499 nt
Filed under: uncultured bacterium
Lineage: Bacteria
Description: partial 16S ribosomal RNA
Rfam family: Bacterial small subunit ribosomal RNA
Source: RNAcentral
GACGAACGCUGGCGGCGUGCCUAAUACAUGCAAGUCGAGCGGACCAAACAGGAGCUUGCUCUUGUUUGGUUAGCGGCGGACGGGUGAGUAACACGUGGGUAACCUGCCCGUAAGACCGGGAUAACUCCGGGAAACCGGAGCUAAUACCGGAUAACACCGAAGACCGCAUGGUCUUUGGUUGAAAGGCGGCUUCGGCUGCCACUUACGGAUGGGCCCGCGGCGCAUUAGCUAGUUGGUGAGGUAACGGCUCACCAAGGCGACGAUGCGUAGCCGGCCUGAGAGGGUGACCGGCCACACUGGGACGGAGACACGGCCCAGACUCCUACGGGAGGCAGCAGUAGGGAAUCUUCCGCAAUGGACGAAAGUCUGACGGAGCGACGCCGCGUGAGCGAAGAAGGUCUUCGGAUCGUAAAGCUCUGUUGUUAGGGAAGAAGAAGCGCCGUUCGAACAGGGCGGCGCGGUGACGGUACCUAACGAGAAAGCCCCGGCUAACUACGUG